Molecule: non-coding RNA, 641 nt
Organism: Paramuricea clavata
Lineage: Eukaryota; Metazoa; Cnidaria; Anthozoa; Malacalcyonacea; Plexauridae
Source: the annotation of a GenBank genome assembly
CACAUUUACCAGUGAGUGAAGUUUGAAAUUAUCAUCUUGGAUGAUAGCAAUGAUAUUCAACCAUUUUGAAGAGCUUGCAACCAACAUGACGUCAUAAAUUAGCGGACAUAUUCACACUCAUUUACAUAUCAAAUAAAUUGAAAUAUCUCGGUAACAAACCAUAAAAACAAGAAACUGAAAAAUAAGUUACACUACAGCUUAAAGAGUUCUUUCAUUUAAGAAAAUAAGAAAUUUCAUGUCAUAUGCACUUUAAAUAAACGGAAUAUUUUGCAUUUCUGUAAGAAUUAAUAUAUAUCAAGACUUGAUAUCACUCAUCCGGUUCGGUUUGAUAGGGAUGCAGCAACUAGCUGAAAAAUACAAGGAGAACACAGUUCGACGUUUCGAGCGAAGUCAUUAAUUAACAAUUAUUCGCCGAAGGCGAGGUGAUUAUCGGUGAAUAAAAACCGAGACGAAGUCGAGGUUUUUAUUCACGAUAAUCACCGAGCCUGAGGUGAAUAAUUGUUUUAGUAUAAUUUCAUAGGUGAUUAUUUGGAAACAAAUUUUAAAAUGCACAUUUCUUCGUCAUUUAAUUGACAAAACGGCUUCGACCGCCAUUUUGAAAAUCGCUUAGGUGAUUAUCGCGUAAUAAUCACCUCAACGAC